This 1529-nucleotide ribosomal RNA is filed under the name Klebsiella pneumoniae. RNAcentral's name for it is "bacterial SSU rRNA". It matches the Rfam family "Bacterial small subunit ribosomal RNA". Lineage: Bacteria; Pseudomonadati; Pseudomonadota; Gammaproteobacteria; Enterobacterales; Enterobacteriaceae. The record is from RNAcentral.
GAGUUUGAUCCUGGCUCAGAUUGAACGCUGGCGGCAGGCCUAACACAUGCAAGUCGAGCGGUAGCACAGAGAGCUUGCUCUCGGGUGACGAGCGGCGGACGGGUGAGUAAUGUCUGGGAAACUGCCUGAUGGAGGGGGAUAACUACUGGAAACGGUAGCUAAUACCGCAUAAUGUCGCAAGACCAAAGUGGGGGACCUUCGGGCCUCAUGCCAUCAGAUGUGCCCAGAUGGGAUUAGCUAGUAGGUGGGGUAACGGCUCACCUAGGCGACGAUCCCUAGCUGGUCUGAGAGGAUGACCAGCCACACUGGAACUGAGACACGGUCCAGACUCCUACGGGAGGCAGCAGUGGGGAAUAUUGCACAAUGGGCGCAAGCCUGAUGCAGCCAUGCCGCGUGUGUGAAGAAGGCCUUCGGGUUGUAAAGCACUUUCAGCGGGGAGGAAGGCGUUAAGGUUAAUAACCUUGGCGAUUGACGUUACCCGCAGAAGAAGCACCGGCUAACUCCGUGCCAGCAGCCGCGGUAAUACGGAGGGUGCAAGCGUUAAUCGGAAUUACUGGGCGUAAAGCGCACGCAGGCGGUCUGUCAAGUCGGAUGUGAAAUCCCCGGGCUCAACCUGGGAACUGCAUUCGAAACUGGCAGGCUAGAGUCUUGUAGAGGGGGGUAGAAUUCCAGGUGUAGCGGUGAAAUGCGUAGAGAUCUGGAGGAAUACCGGUGGCGAAGGCGGCCCCCUGGACAAAGACUGACGCUCAGGUGCGAAAGCGUGGGGAGCAAACAGGAUUAGAUACCCUGGUAGUCCACGCCGUAAACGAUGUCGAUUUGGAGGUUGUGCCCUUGAGGCGUGGCUUCCGGAGCUAACGCGUUAAAUCGACCGCCUGGGGAGUACGGCCGCAAGGUUAAAACUCAAAUGAAUUGACGGGGGCCCGCACAAGCGGUGGAGCAUGUGGUUUAAUUCGAUGCAACGCGAAGAACCUUACCUGGUCUUGACAUCCACAGAACUUUCCAGAGAUGGAUUGGUGCCUUCGGGAACUGUGAGACAGGUGCUGCAUGGCUGUCGUCAGCUCGUGUUGUGAAAUGUUGGGUUAAGUCCCGCAACGAGCGCAACCCUUAUCCUUUGUUGCCAGCGGUUAGGCCGGGAACUCAAAGGAGACUGCCAGUGAUAAACUGGAGGAAGGUGGGGAUGACGUCAAGUCAUCAUGGCCCUUACGACCAGGGCUACACACGUGCUACAAUGGCAUAUACAAAGAGAAGCGACCUCGCGAGAGCAAGCGGACCUCAUAAAGUAUGUCGUAGUCCGGAUUGGAGUCUGCAACUCGACUCCAUGAAGUCGGAAUCGCUAGUAAUCGUAGAUCAGAAUGCUACGGUGAAUACGUUCCCGGGCCUUGUACACACCGCCCGUCACACCAUGGGAGUGGGUUGCAAAAGAAGUAGGUAGCUUAACCUUCGGGAGGGCGCUUACCACUUUGUGAUUCAUGACUGGGGUGAAGUCGUAACAAGGUAACCGUAGGGGAACCUGCGGCUGGAUCACCUCC